CAUCCUGGGGCUGGAGGCGGUCCCAAGGGUUGGGCUGUUCGCCCAUAAAAGAGGCACGCGGGCUGGGUUCAGAACGUCGUGAGACAGUUCGGUACCUAUACGUCGCGGGCGCAGGAAAUUUGAGAGGGGCUGUCCUUAGUACGAGAGGACCGGGAUGGACACACCGCUGGUGUACCAGUUAUUAUAGCGGGACGAGCGCUGGGU
This 204-nucleotide ribosomal RNA is filed under the name Listeria monocytogenes. RNAcentral describes it as "partial 23S ribosomal RNA". It matches the Rfam family "Bacterial large subunit ribosomal RNA", at positions 2543 to 2746 of the family's 2925-position model. The record is from RNAcentral. Lineage: Bacteria; Bacillati; Bacillota; Bacilli; Caryophanales; Listeriaceae.